UCAGCGAGAUUCAUGCGCACGCAUCUCAUCCCUUCCAAAGAGGAGUUAGUUCGCCCCUCCCUUCAUUUCUUCGUUCCCGCGCAUUUCUCCCUAUAUAAAGGCGAGGUCAUCCACCUGAGAGUCAGUUGAUCGGCCCGACGGCCAGUGUGGCUGGAUUCCGCCCACUGGUCAUAGGACGAUCAUAGGGGGAGCGGCAGAACGACUGGCUAUCCGUCUUCUGCAGCUCGCACCCCUCCUUCGCGGUUAGGCCAGCCGAGGACCUAUCUCGGCCUAGGGAAUUUGUCUCCCUUCCCCCUCCCCUUUCUGGAUGAUAGGGUGUACCGUGUGUUUCAAUUCAGUGUAUGUUGUAAAAGCCGAUGCAGGCAACAAAUUGAACUGUUUCUACAAUUCAGGUCAAUAAAAGUUCCGUGAAAAUACCGACAGUAUUCUUCAAUGUAUAGCCUAGCUCCAUCCCUCACCCCACUAGCUAUUCGCCUGCAUACCAGCCGCUUGGACCUUCUCCACCCGAUACCUGGCUCUCCACCCAAGAGAGACAUCGGUGAGAAGAAGACAGCACGUCAUUCUUUGGCGCCCAACGUGGGGCCAGACCAGCAGCUCGACCUCCUCCACCCCUGCUGGCUCUCUGUCAAGAGGGCUCGGUGCGGUGAGAGGAUUACUACAAGUUGGCGCCCAACGUGGGGCCAGACCAGCAGCUCGACCUCCUCCACCCCUGCUGGCUCUCUGUCAAGAGGGCUCGGUGCGGUGAGAGGACAACUCCGUCAUAGUUUGCAGCCAGAGGAGCACAGAAGACCAGCGUUUCUCUACGAGACUGGUGUGAAGAGCUGGCAGAAGGCACAUCCGAACAAAUACAGAACCGUCCAGGAUGCCUCGUUUCACAAGCGCCGCCACCUGGGAACAAUUGGACAAGUAACAGGGUUGCAAACCUGUCACUGAAGCAAAAGACAUACAGCAAUCUGAAGCAAGAUACCUGGCUGCUGUUGAAAUGUAGCAAGUGUUUUCCUGCUGCGAUGAACUCACAAAUCUGGUGAAGUUGUCCCUCUGAGCAUCGGGCCAGUCACAGUGCCGUGCCACCAGCUCCAGGUAGACGCGCAGCAGGAGGGGGCCCCCCUCUGCACACGGCAGGUCGCAGGCGACGCCCAGC
Long non-coding RNA from Bacillus rossius redtenbacheri, 1141 nucleotides. RefSeq lists it as uncharacterized. Lineage: Eukaryota; Metazoa; Arthropoda; Insecta; Phasmatodea; Bacillidae. The record is from RefSeq and is a predicted model, not a curated record. The transcript is spliced from 3 exons.